This 1664-nucleotide non-coding RNA is filed under the name Saccharomyces cerevisiae (brewer's yeast). RNAcentral's name for it is "small subunit ribosomal RNA". It matches the Rfam family "Bacterial small subunit ribosomal RNA". RNAcentral also lists the same sequence under 1 other name. The record is from RNAcentral. Lineage: Eukaryota; Fungi; Ascomycota; Saccharomycetes; Saccharomycetales; Saccharomycetaceae.
AUUUAUAAGAAUAUGAUGUUGGUUCAGAUUAAGCGCUAAAUAAGGACAUGACACAUGCGAAUCAUACGUUUAUUAUUGAUAAGAUAAUAAAUAUGUGGUGUAAACGUGAGUAAUUUUAUUAGGAAUUAAUGAACUAUAGAAUAAGCUAAAUACUUAAUAUAUUAUUAUAUAAAAAUAAUUUAUAUAAUAAAAAGGAUAUAUAUAUAAUAUAUAUUUAUCUAUAGUCAAGCCAAUAAUGGUUUAGGUAGUAGGUUUAUUAAGAGUUAAACCUAGCCAACGAUCCAUAAUCGAUAAUGAAAGUUAGAACGAUCACGUUGACUCUGAAAUAUAGUCAAUAUCUAUAAGAUACAGCAGUGAGGAAUAUUGGACAAUGAUCGAAAGAUUGAUCCAGUUACUUAUUAGGAUGAUAUAUAAAAAUAUUUUAUUUUAUUUAGUUCCGGGGCCCGGCCACGGGAGCCGGAACCCCGAAAGGAGAAAUAUUAAAUAUUUAUAAUAAUAAUAAUAAUAAUAUAUAUAUAUAAAUUGAUUAAAAAUAAAAUCCAUAAAUAAUUAAAAUAAUGAUAUUAAUUACCAUAUAUAUUUUAUAUGGAUAUAUAUAUUAAUAAUAAUAUUAAUUUAUUAUUAUUAAUAAUAUAUUUUAAUAGUCCUGACUAAUAUUUGUGCCAGCAGUCGCGGUAACACAAAGAGGGCGAGCGUUAAUCAUAAUGGUUUAAAGGAUCCGUAGAAUGAAUUAUAUAUUAUAAUUUAGAGUUAAUAAAAUUAAUUAAAGAAUUAUAAUAGUAAAGAUGAAAUAAUAAUAAUAAUUAUAAGACUAAUAUAUGUGAAAAUAUUAAUUAAAUAUUAACUGACAUUGAGGGAUUAAAACUAGAGUAGCGAAACGGAUUCGAUACCCGUGUAGUUCUAGUAGUAAACUAUGAAUACAAUUAUUUAUAAUAUAUAUUAUAUAUAAAUAAUAAAUGAAAAUGAAAGUAUUCCACCUGAAGAGUACGUUAGCAAUAAUGAAACUCAAAACAAUAGACGGUUACAGACUUAAGCAGUGGAGCAUGUUAUUUAAUUCGAUAAUCCACGACUAACCUUACCAUAUUUUGAAUAUUAUAAUAAUUAUUAUAAUUAUUAUAUUACAGGCGUUACAUUGUUGUCUUUAGUUCGUGCUGCAAAGUUUUAGAUUAAGUUCAUAAACGAACAAAACUCCAUAUAUAUAAUUUUAAUUAUAUAUAAUUUUAUAUUAUUUAUUAAUAUAAAGAAAGGAAUUAAGACAAAUCAUAAUGAUCCUUAUAAUAUGGGUAAUAGACGUGCUAUAAUAAAAUGAUAAUAAAAUUAUAUAAAAUAUAUUUAAUUAUAUUUAAUUAAUAAUAUAAAACAUUUUAAUUUUUAAUAUAUUUUUUUAUUAUAUAUUAAUAUGAAUUAUAAUCUGAAAUUCGAUUAUAUGAAAAAAGAAUUGCUAGUAAUACGUAAAUUAGUAUGUUACGGUGAAUAUUCUAACUGUUUCGCACUAAUCACUCAUCACGCGUUGAAACAUAUUAUUAUCUUAUUAUUUAUAUAAUAUUUUUUAAUAAAUAUUAAUAAUUAUUAAUUUAUAUUUAUUUAUAUCAGAAAUAAUAUGAAUUAAUGCGAAGUUGAAAUACAGUUACCGUAGGGGAACCUGCGGUGGGCUUAUAAAUAUC